GCACGGACACACACAGGUACGGACACAAACAGGUACGGACACACACAGGUAGGGACACACACAGGUACGGGCACACACAGGUACGGACACACACAGGCACGGACACACACAGGCACGGACACACACCGGUACGGGCACACACAGGUACGGGCACACACAGGUACGGACACACACAGGUACGGACACACACCGGGCACGAACACACACAGGUACGGACACACACCGGUACGGACACACACAGGUGCGGACACAAACAGGCACGGACACACACCGGUACGGACACACGCAAGCACGGACACACACAGGCACGGACACACACAGGUACGGACACACACAGGCACGGACACACACAGGUGCGGACACACACAGGUACGGACACACACAGGUACGGACACACACAGGUACGGACACAAACAGGCACGG
Long non-coding RNA from Oncorhynchus tshawytscha (Chinook salmon), 423 nucleotides. The record is from Ensembl. NCBI's taxonomy places the organism in Eukaryota, Metazoa, Chordata, Actinopteri, Salmoniformes, Salmonidae.